Amphiprion ocellaris (clown anemonefish) is the source of this 479-nucleotide long non-coding RNA. RefSeq lists it as uncharacterized. Lineage: Eukaryota; Metazoa; Chordata; Actinopteri; Pomacentridae. The record is from RefSeq and is a predicted model, not a curated record. The transcript is spliced from 3 exons.
UGGUGAGUUUUUGUGUGAUCUGUAACCACUGAGGGGUGGCUACCAAGACGUCAAGCUUCUGUUAACAGCUGCUAAUUCGGAGAGAAGUUCUCAAGUCUUGGUGAAGAGUGCAACCUCUGUUAGCAGCUGACUAACUAGGUUGCUGUAGUUUCCCAGCUGCUUUUGCUGCACCAUGAUCAGGUCCAUGUUUUGGUUUUCCAGAGUCAGCAAACGCAUGCAGCCCUGGAAGACGUUGAAGGGAUUUCUGCACUCAUGACUGGUGUCUUCAGCCGGACGACCUGAACAGAAGAGAAUCGGACAGAAUGAAGGGCACAAAUGAACUUAUGUCUAAUUAAUAAAAAUGCUCUCCAAGCAUGGACACUCAUGGCGUAAUGACCAAAUCAGAAAUCCCAUCACAUCACAGCCUGCUACACGAGCACCAAAAUUGUGAUCAGGCUUGUAAAUGAAGUCUUUUCCCCAGUGAAACAGCAGUUAGAAGA